UACGGAGGGUGCGAGCGUUAAUCGGAAUGACUGGGCGUAAAGGGCAUGUAGGCGGAUAAUUAAGUUAGGUGUGAAAGCCCUGGGCUCAACCUAGGAAUUGCACUUAAAACUGGUUAACUAGAGUAUUGUAGAGGAAGGUAGAAUUCCACGUGUAGCGGUGAAAUGCGUAGAGAUGUGGAGGAAUACCGGUGGCGAAGGCGGCCUUCUGGACAGAUACUGACGCUGAGAUGCGAAAGCGUGGGGAGCAAACAGG
RNAcentral lists this ribosomal RNA (253 nucleotides) under uncultured bacterium. RNAcentral's name for it is "partial 16S ribosomal RNA". It matches the Rfam family "Bacterial small subunit ribosomal RNA", at positions 524 to 776 of the family's 1533-position model. The record is from RNAcentral.